This 301-nucleotide ribosomal RNA is filed under the name uncultured bacterium. RNAcentral describes it as "partial 16S ribosomal RNA". It matches the Rfam family "Bacterial small subunit ribosomal RNA", at positions 509 to 807 of the family's 1533-position model. The record is from RNAcentral.
CAGCAGCCACGGGAACACGUAGGGUGCGAGCGUUAAUCGGAAUUACUGGGCGUAAAGCGUGCGCAGGCGGCUUUGCAAGACAGAUGUGAAAUCCCCGGGCUCAACCUGGGAACUGCAUUUGUGACUGCAAGGCUAGAGUGCGGCAGAGGGAGAUGGAAUUCCGCGUGUAGCAGUGAAAUGCGUAGAUAUGCGGAGGAACACCGAUGGCGAAGGCAAUCUCCUGGGCCUGCACUGACGCUCAUGCACGAAAGCGUGGGGAGCAAACAGGAUUAGAUACCCCGGUAGUCCCUGUCUCUUAUAC